UCCUCUGUAGUUCAGUCGGUAGAACGGCGGACUGUUAAUCCGUAUGUCACUGGUUCGAAUCCAGUCAGAGGAGCCA
RNAcentral lists this transfer RNA (76 nucleotides) under Citrobacter freundii. RNAcentral's name for it is "tRNA-Asn". It matches the Rfam family "tRNA". Rfam says of the family: Transfer RNA (tRNA) molecules are approximately 80 nucleotides in length. Their secondary structure includes four short double-helical elements and three loops (D, anti-codon, and T loops). The record is from RNAcentral. Lineage: Bacteria; Pseudomonadati; Pseudomonadota; Gammaproteobacteria; Enterobacterales; Enterobacteriaceae. RNAcentral also lists the same sequence under 36 other names.